UGGGUAACCUGCCUGUAAGACUGGGAUAACUCCGGGAAACCGGGGCUAAUACCGGAUGCUUGAUUGAACCGCAUGGUUCAAUCAUAAAAGGUGGCUUUUAGCUACCACUUACAGAUGGACCCGCGGCGCAUUAGCUAGUUGGUGAGGUAACGGCUCACCAAGGCGACGAUGCGUAGCCGACCUGAGAGGGUGAUCGGCCACACUGGGACUGAGACACGGCCCAGACUCCUACGGGAGGCAGCAGUAGGGAAUCUUCCGCAAUGGACGAAAGUCUGACGGAGCAACGCCGCGUGAGUGAUGAAGGUUUUCGGAUCGUAAAACUCUGUUGUUAGGGAAGAACAAGUACCGUUCGAAUAGGGCGGUACCUUGACGGUACCUAACCAGAAAGCCACGGCUAACUACGUGCCAGCAGCCGCGGUAAUACGUAGGUGGCAAGCGUUGUCCGGAAUUAUUGGGCGUAAAGCGCGCGCAGGCGGUUUCUUAAGUCUGAUGUGAAAGCCCCCGGCUCAACCGGGGAGGGUCAUUGGAAACUGGGGAACUUGAGUGCAGAAGAGGAGAGUGGAAUUCCACGUGUAGCGGUGAAAUGCGUAGAGAUGUGGAGGAACACCAGUGGCGAAGGCGACUCUCUGGUCUGUAACUGACGCUGAGGCGCGAAAGCGUGGGGAGCGAACAGGAUUAGAUACCCUGGUAGUCCACGCCGUAAACGAUGAGUGCUAAGUGUUAGAGGGUUUCCGCCCUUUAGUGCUGCAGCAAACGCAUUAAGCACUCCGCCUGGGGAGUACGGUCGCAAGACUGAAACUCAAAGGAAUUGACGGGGGCCCGCACAAGCGGUGGAGCAUGUGGUUUAAUUCGAAGCAACGCGAAGAACCUUACCAGGUCUUGACAUCCUCUGACAACCCUAGAGAUAGGGCUUCCCCUUCGGGGGCAGAGUGACAGGUGGUGCAUGGUUGUCGUCAGCUCGUGUCGUGAGAUGUUGGGUUAAGUCCCGCAACGAGCGCAACCCUUGAUCUUAGUUGCCAGCAUUCAGUUGGGCACUCUAAGGUGACUGCCGGUGACAAACCGGAGGAAGGUGGGGAUGACGUCAAAUCAUCAUGCCCCUUAUGACCUGGGCUACACACGUGCUACAAUGGGCAGAACAAAGGGCAGCGAAGCCGCGAGGCUAAGCCAAUCCCACAAAUCUGUUCUCAGUUCGGAUCGCAGUCUGCAACUCGACUGCGUGAAGCUGGAAUCGUUAGUAAUCGCGGAUCAGCAUGCCGCGGUGAAUACGUUCC
RNAcentral lists this ribosomal RNA (1271 nucleotides) under Bacillus sp. (in: firmicutes). Its description in RNAcentral is "bacterial SSU rRNA". It matches the Rfam family "Bacterial small subunit ribosomal RNA", at positions 118 to 1374 of the family's 1533-position model. The record is from RNAcentral. Lineage: Bacteria; Bacillati; Bacillota; Bacilli; Caryophanales; Bacillaceae.